Molecule: unclassified non-coding RNA, 331 nt
Filed under: Hevea brasiliensis (rubber tree)
Lineage: Eukaryota; Viridiplantae; Streptophyta; Magnoliopsida; Malpighiales; Euphorbiaceae
Source: RNAcentral
AAUCAACUAAAUGAAUAUUAUGGCUGAACUAUUAAAUAUGAUUGUUGUAAGACCCAUUCAAUAAAAGAAAAAAAUCUUGAUUAAAGAUAAGUAAUCUUGGUGUGAUUACCAAAUAUAACAAUGUCUAUAAUUAUGUAUGCACUAUUCUCUUAUACCAGCUCUAACUUGAGCAUUCUUCUCUAAUGUACUAUUCUCUCAUAUCAAUUCUAAUUUGAGCGUUAGAGGGUCCUCGCCAAGUCCUUACCCAGUGGACUUAAUUAUUUUCUGUUUUGCAUAUCCAUAUCCACAGAGAAUUUUCAUGGACAGCAACAGAAAAUUAUUUGUGUCGGUU